Molecule: ribosomal RNA, 253 nt
Filed under: uncultured bacterium
Lineage: Bacteria
Description: partial 16S ribosomal RNA
Rfam family: Bacterial small subunit ribosomal RNA
Source: RNAcentral
UACGGAGGGUGCAAGCGUUGCUCGGAAUCACUGGGCGUAAAGCGCACGUAGGCGGACUCUUAAGUCGGUGGUGAAAUCCUGGAGCUCAACUCCAGAACUGCCUUCGAUACUGGGAGUCUCGAGUUCGGGAGAGGUGAGUGGAACUGCGAGUGUAGAGGUGAAAUUCGUAGAUAUUCGCAAGAACACCAGUGGCGAAGGCGGCUCACUGGCCCGAUACUGACGCUGAGGUGCGAAAGCGUGGGGAGCAAACAGG